RNAcentral lists this long non-coding RNA (476 nucleotides) under Olea europaea (common olive). RNAcentral's name for it is "long non-coding RNA (OEUR_LNC007839)". Lineage: Eukaryota; Viridiplantae; Streptophyta; Magnoliopsida; Lamiales; Oleaceae. The record is from RNAcentral.
AUAUACCUACGGUAAAUAUGAGUUCGCCUUAUGAAGUAAUAUAACUGAAUAGAUGGACCAACAAAACUUUAUUAAUAAUGCGAGUAGUCACUCAUGUAAAAUGGAUAUGGCUAACCCAUUCUCAUGUAUACAUACAUUUUCAACAAAUAACAAAGCAGUACCCAUUCUCAUUGCUAUUCUAUUCACUAAGGAACCCCUAAUUCACUUAACACACACUUAACCACUUUAAUCAAUGCAAGAGGCAAAUAAAUUAGAGGCGGCCACCACCACCACCAAAGCCUCCGCCCCCACCAAAGCCGCCUCCACCACCACCACCUGCACCUCCUCCUCCUCCCAAUCCUCCACCAGCUCCAGCACCAGCACCUCCACCAAGUCCACCACCACCUCCUGCACCUCCACCAAGUCCACCACCACCUCCAGCUCCUCCACCAAGACCACCACCAGCUCCACCUCCCAGUCCUCCACCACCACCUGCU